This 473-nucleotide ribosomal RNA is filed under the name uncultured organism. RNAcentral's name for it is "partial 16S ribosomal RNA". It matches the Rfam family "Bacterial small subunit ribosomal RNA", at positions 335 to 799 of the family's 1533-position model. The record is from RNAcentral.
ACUCCUGCGGGAGGCAGCAGUGGGGAAUUUUGGACAAUGGGCGAAAGCCUGAUCCAGCAAUGCCGCGUGCAGGAUGAAGGCCUUCGGGUUGUAAACUGCUUUUGUACGGAACGAAAAAGCUCCUUCUAAUACAGGGGGCCCAUGACGGUACCGUAAGAAUAAGCACCGGCUAACUACGUGCCAGCAGCCGCGGUAAUACGUAGGGUGCGAGCGUUAAUCGGAAUUACUGGGCGUAAAGCGUGCGCAGGCGGUUAUGUAAGACAGAUGUGAAAUCCCCGGGCUCAACCUGGGAACUGCAUUUGUGACUGCAUGGCUAGAGUACGGUAGAGGGGGAUGGAAUUCCGCGUGUAGCAGUGAAAUGCGUAGAUAUGCGGAGGAACACCGAUGGCGAAGGCAAUCCCCUGGACCUGUACUGACGCUCAUGCACGAAAGCGUGGGGAGCAAACAGGAUUAGAUACCCCGGUAGUCCCAUG